GGUUAAGCGACUAAGCGUACACGGUGGAUGCCCUGGCAGUCAGAGGCGAUGAAGGACGUGCUAAUCUGCGAUAAGCGUCGGUAAGGUGAUAUGAACCGUUAUAACCGGCGAUUUCCGAAUGGGGAAACCCAGUGUGUUUCGACACACUAUCAUUAACUGAAUCCAUAGGUUAAUGAGGCGAACCGGGGGAACUGAAACAUCUAAGUACCCCGAGGAAAAGAAAUCAACCGAGAUUCCCCCAGUAGCGGCGAGCGAACGGGGAGGAGCCCAGAGCCUGAAUCAGUGUGUGUGUUAGUGGAAGCGUCUGGAAAGGCGCGCGAUACAGGGUGACAGCCCCGUACACAAAAAUGCACAUGCUGUGAGCUCGAUGAGUAGGGCGGGACA
This 384-nucleotide ribosomal RNA is filed under the name Escherichia coli. RNAcentral's name for it is "partial 23S ribosomal RNA". It matches the Rfam family "Bacterial large subunit ribosomal RNA", at positions 1 to 424 of the family's 2925-position model. The record is from RNAcentral. Lineage: Bacteria; Pseudomonadati; Pseudomonadota; Gammaproteobacteria; Enterobacterales; Enterobacteriaceae.